AAGAAGUGUCCUGAACGCUGUUGCCUCUCUCCUUGUGAUGGGCUUGAUGUCACAAUGAGUCAGAAAGACAGGCAUUUGGGGGAAAAAAGUCUAAACGCAAAGUGAAGAGAAGCAUGAAUAAACUUGAUCCACAGGACACUGUACCCCAUGAGGACAACCUGGAAUCCAGCUCUGUCGGUGCAUCUAACUCCGACAUUGUGACUGAACAGAAGGCUUUGUCCUUGGGCACAGCUGCCCACUUGCCGGGCCUGACCUCAGAGAAGGUAAAGGGUGGGAUCCAGAGAGGCUGAAGUGAGGUUGCUGCCAUCCUUCAACCAGGUGAGUCAGCAGACGGACCAGCACAUUCAUGAACUGCAGUGGUGCCUGGGGCUCUGCACCGACUUUUCGAGCAUAAUUGUUGUUGCUUCACAUCUGCCUUCCAAAUCACAUGCAAAUUUCCCUUAUGAUGAAGCACCCUGCGAAGGAGGGAACUCUGGGACACGUAUUUUCAGCUCAUAAAAAGAGAAUCGUGAAAUGAGAAGAACAGGAGUCUCUGCAAAAAUAAGAGAUGAGGAUUUUCCAGACCUGACAAAAGAGCAGAAUCUCUACAAUCAUAGAUAGAGAAAGAGGAGGUUAUAGCAACCAGGAUUAUAUAAGAAAGAGCGGAAAAAAUCAUGGGGAAACCAGACCCUGUGGCUGUGAUAACCGAGCACUAGGGACCCAUCCACCUACACAUUGGACACCACUGAGGCCUGAAAACUCCCAGCGUCUGUGAGCUGGGGGCGGCAGUAGAGUCCAGUGGUGGGCAGAAGGUCGCUGCCCCAUCUGAUGAUUCUUUCCUGCACCCUGCAUUCCAAGAAGGUUCAGCAGAGGAUGGCCCACGGGGGUGGGGGUUUCUUGGUGGAUUUGUGGCAUCCAAAGGUCGUGGCAGAGGAAGGAACAGUAGGCUCUGGAUUCCAGCAACAAGAACAAGACUGUCAAGCAAGUGUGGUAGGAAAAUGGAGUCUUAUACAUUAUAACACAGUCCUGGGAGGGACAAUCCGUCACUUUUGCCAUCUGUUUUGAGUUACAAACAAGUCACAGGUCCCACUCACACUCAAGGGGAAGAGAUUAUACAUGGCGAUGAAACAUCUGAAGGCAGGGCCACCUUAAAGUCUGUCUGCCAC
This 1145-nucleotide long non-coding RNA is filed under the name Equus asinus (donkey). RNAcentral's name for it is "lncRNA (ENSEASG00005024968.1)". The record is from RNAcentral. Lineage: Eukaryota; Metazoa; Chordata; Mammalia; Perissodactyla; Equidae.